CUCUUCAACAUGUAUUGAUGCUGCAGCUGAGCUGCUGCCCAGCCCCUGGGGAGAAGACACCAGCAGCGUGCCCAGCCAGGGCAGGGUGGAGAGCUGCAGCUGCAGCUGCCUCCUGAGCUCUUUAUAAACACUGGCAUUCUGGCCGAGAAAGACUCGCCAACAUCCAAGAGUGGCAAAGGGGAACAGGAGACACAUCGUUGGCUUGGGAACCGCUCCCGCUCACAAGAAGUCUGCUCACAGGAGAUUUUUCUCUCAGCGUCCUCCUGUGGUUUCUAGUCUGGGGAGAACACAUCAGCACACUAACGGAAGAAAGGGGAGCCUGUGAAGACCAAGGCUGCUGCGCUGGGGGUGUGGAUUCGAGGGCUCUUCUCCAGCCUGACAGCUGGGACCCUCAUUUUGUCAGCCCUGUGGAGUUCCUACUAGAGUGCCAUGCAAGGCAGUGGGGGUUUGGAAGACGGAAGUCCUGUCACUGCCCUCAAAGGGCUUGCUGCCCAGUUGACAUAAGACAUAUUGGAAGCAUUUGAGCAGGAUAUAAUUA
Molecule: small RNA, 538 nt
Filed under: Pongo abelii (Sumatran orangutan)
Lineage: Eukaryota; Metazoa; Chordata; Mammalia; Primates; Hominidae
Description: processed transcript
Source: RNAcentral